UAUGUCAGCUCCUGGUU
Molecule: unclassified non-coding RNA, 17 nt
Filed under: Mus musculus (house mouse)
Lineage: Eukaryota; Metazoa; Chordata; Mammalia; Rodentia; Muridae
Description: oocyte_clustered_small_RNA14104
Source: RNAcentral